GAUGAACGCUAGCGGCAGGCUUAACACAUGCAAGUCGUGGGGCAGCGCGGACUUCGGUCUGGCGGCGACCGGCAAACGGGUGCGGAACACGUACGCAACCUCCCUCAGAGCGGGGAAUAGCCUCUCAAAAGAGAGAUUAAUACCCCAUAGUAUCCCGAAACCACAUGGUUUUGGGAUUAAAGCUUCGGCACUUUGAGAUGGGCGUGCGGCUGAUUAGGUAGUUGGUAGGGUAACGGCCUACCAAGCCGACGAUCAGUAGCUGAUGUGAGAGCAUGAUCAGCCACACGGGCACUGAGACACGGGGCCCCGACUCCUACGGGAGGCAGCAGUGAGGAAUAUUGGUCAAUGGAGGAAACUCUGAACCAGCCAUGCCGCGUGGAGGAUGAAGGUCCUCUGGAUUGUAAACUCCUUUUAUAAAAGAAGAAACCCCAUUUUUCUAAAUGGGUUGACGGUACUUUAUGAAUAAGCACCGGCUAACUCCGUGCCAGCAGCCGCGGUAAUUGCGACG
This 508-nucleotide ribosomal RNA is filed under the name uncultured bacterium. RNAcentral's name for it is "bacterial SSU rRNA". It matches the Rfam family "Bacterial small subunit ribosomal RNA", at positions 28 to 530 of the family's 1533-position model. The record is from RNAcentral.